RNAcentral lists this RNase P RNA (296 nucleotides) under Methanobacteriota archaeon. Its description in RNAcentral is "Euryarchaeota archaeon RNase P RNA component". It matches the Rfam family "Archaeal RNase P". Rfam says of the family: Ribonuclease P (RNase P) is a ubiquitous endoribonuclease, found in archaea, bacteria and eukarya as well as chloroplasts and mitochondria. Its best characterised activity is the generation of mature 5'-ends of tRNAs by cleaving the 5'-leader elements of precursor-tRNAs. RNAcentral also lists the same sequence under 1 other name. Lineage: Archaea; Methanobacteriati; Methanobacteriota. The record is from RNAcentral.
GGGAGUGGGAGGACUGCUGACAGAGUUCGACUCUGAGGAAAGUCCCCUCUCCACAGCACGAAUGGGUCACAGAAGUGAUAGACGGGAGACUGUCUGGUAUUGGAGAAGAAACGAACGAUGCAGGGGUUUGAUGAUGAUAUCGAAAGAUGGAGGCUUCCUUGUGGUCGAUGAGACGAGCAACCCCAUUGGAGCAAGUCCAAACAGUUCCGUUAACGUAGUGCGCACAGGAACAGGUAGGAUGCUUAGUUGAAUGCAGUCGCCGAAAGGUAACAGAAAGGGGCUUACUCCCCACACCC